UGGAACUUAAUAACUAAAGGCAAAGGAGAAAAGCUAAGAAUAAUGACGGAACAAACCUAAGCUGAAGGAUAAUUAAAGUUAUAAACAAGUGCUUACAAGACUAUUGAGCUCCUGCUCGGAUGAACAUACUAUAGGACCCCUCUCUCGGCCUGCAUCCCUAGCACCGCGGAGCUGGCCUAAGGCCUGUUGCAGAGGUUCCAUUUCCUUUCUUUUCUCAUCAAUAGUACUCCGACCACGGAGCUGGCCCAAGGCCUGUUGCAGAGGUUCCAUUUCCUUUCGUUUCUCAUCAAUAGUACUCCAAAAUUCCUUAUUCUCAGCACUGAGAGAUUUCCUUUGUUCAAUUACCUUCGAUCGUUCUGCCUGCAAAUACCAAGGAGUUAUAUGAUUAUAGCUGUCAUACUUCCACAAGAACAGGAUUUGGACAAAAUGCAACUAACAAAAAGGACCAUGCAAUAGGCGAUAUCAACUUUACGUAGCUUGCUGAAUUAUAUUUUCAAGUUCAAAUUGUAGGACAUAAUAAUCUGAAAAAAUAAGUCACUAAGCAUGAGUCUAUUGCAACUUCUGUUACCAUCCUUUUUCUUGCACUUAUCGACGUCCAACUGGGAACUAUAUAUUGCUUUGCUGAGUUUUAUCCCUGAAGUCAUCCAUCACUUUACCAAAGUGUUCUCUCCGGUAAGAGAACAAUUUGGCAUGCAAGAGAAAAGUUCUCUUUUUAAGUAAGAGACGCAGCUUGCAGUUUCAAACACUUAACACGGAUAUGUGCAUGCAAGAAUUGAACUGCAGAUCAAGG
RNAcentral lists this long non-coding RNA (790 nucleotides) under Nicotiana benthamiana. Its description in RNAcentral is "long non-coding RNA (NBEN_LNC006885)". The record is from RNAcentral. Lineage: Eukaryota; Viridiplantae; Streptophyta; Magnoliopsida; Solanales; Solanaceae.